CGCAGUGGCGUUCGGCGGGACCCGCUGAGGCAAAGCGGAGCCGCAGUGACAGAAGCGAGGAGCUGGCCGCCUGGAGGGACUCACCGAGGCGCAGGGGCUGGAGGUGGUGCUGGGGGUGGGGCGCGCAGCCGAAGCAACCGUAGAGAAAAACGGAGGUGAAAAUCCCGAGGCCGACACGUUUUCUAGUGGAAAAGAGCUCCGCGGGUGUCAGACGCUCUCUCUGAGCUAGACCUCGGAGACCAGCCCACCCGCUUGGCCCUGGCCCUCAAAAGGGCUCUUCAUGAGCUUUCCCACCCUCCCCAUCAUAAAGGGCCUCACGGUUAACGACGAGACUUCCCCUAAGAAAGAUUUCCCCGUGGUAAACACUGGAAACUUCGUGGUACCCUCAUGCUUCCUCUACUACCUGCCUAAAGCCAGUCACUGUACCAGAGAAGAGAUGCUGAGGGGACCUGGGGGCACAGAGAGCUGGACCCUGAGUUGGAAAGCUCCAACCUGCUCUACACCUCCCAUUUGCUCCCUACUGUGAAGAUCUCCACUAACAAGGAUUUGCUCGGUUGAGCUUUCUUCUUUCCCCCUAAAUUCCAUUAUUUCAGAGAUGUGAAAACUGUAGAUUUAAAAUAUUUUAAAGGAAUACACUUCUAAAUGAUAAGCUGUUGGUAUCAAGAAUGUAAUGGAAAAAUCAAGAUUAAAAAGCAAAAAAAAAAAAAAAAGCCACACAGUGCAAACCGUUGAUAUUUACACAGAGACCGUUGAGUGGAUGAGCUGGUAAAUGCCACCGUCCAUCUCAAAGCUGUAGAAAACACACACUUAGGACUCUGCAGCUUCUAAAGCCCACCUCUUUCUGUUUGUCACUCAAACACUCUUGGAUCUCAUUGCUCCUUUUAAACUGACGGGGCUGUCGUGAGCUCUUUCUGGUUGCUGUGUGGUUAAGUGACACAAGAGCCCUCUUUGCUGAGUCUUUGUUCUCUCCCUGGGGCCCUGUGGUUGAAAUAAUUAGCAGGGAGGUUCCAUCAAGAGUCACCGAGGGUCCCCGUACUGUACAGUCCUCUGUCAAGUGUACUGCAGAGAAACCAGCUGUUAGGCUUUUGCCCCCUGGUGGUGAUCAAGAGUGCCUAAGAGACAAAAAUUAAAGAUCUAUGGUUCACAAACAAUGUUUUCCCCAGAGCUCCCCAGCAAACAGGAAAGAAAAGGCAAGGUUCAGAAAUAAGAACUUUGAACCAAUUCUUUAGAGACCAAACAGAAAACUAUGUAGAGAACCAAGAACUCUAUGUAGCUGAAAGAUGAAUGACCUCCAAUAAAUGUGUUUAUAAACCAAA
Molecule: long non-coding RNA, 1316 nt
Organism: Peromyscus eremicus (cactus mouse)
Lineage: Eukaryota; Metazoa; Chordata; Mammalia; Rodentia; Cricetidae
Exons: 2
Source: RefSeq, a predicted model, not a curated record